GAUGAACGCUGGCGGCGUGCCUAAUACAUGCAAGUAGAACGCUGAAGCUUGGUGCUUGCCCCGAGCGGAUGAGUUGCGAACGGGUGAGUAACGCGUAGGUAACCUGCCUGGUAGCGGGGGAUAACUAUUGGAAACGAUAGCUAAUACCGCAUGACAACAGUUAUUGCAUGAUAACUGUUUAAAAGGGGCAAUUGCUCCACUACCAGAUGGACCUGCGUUGUAUUAGCUAGUUGGUGAGGUAACGGCUCACCAAGGCGACGAUACAUAGCCGACCUGAGAGGGUGAUCGGCCACACUGGGACUGAGACACGGCCCAGACUCCUACGGGAGGCAGCAGUAGGGAAUCUUCGGCAAUGGACGGAAGUCUGACCGAGCAACGCCGCGUGAGUGAAGAAGGUUUUCGGAUCGUAAAGCUCUGUUGUAAGAGAAGAACGAGUGUGAGAGUGGAAAGUUCACACUGUGACGGUAUCUUACCAGAAAGGGACGGCUAACUACGUG
RNAcentral lists this ribosomal RNA (497 nucleotides) under uncultured bacterium. RNAcentral describes it as "partial 16S ribosomal RNA". It matches the Rfam family "Bacterial small subunit ribosomal RNA", at positions 28 to 507 of the family's 1533-position model. The record is from RNAcentral.